RNAcentral lists this ribosomal RNA (520 nucleotides) under uncultured Archaeospora. Its description in RNAcentral is "SSU rRNA". It matches the Rfam family "Eukaryotic small subunit ribosomal RNA", at positions 569 to 1093 of the family's 1831-position model. Lineage: Eukaryota; Fungi; Glomeromycota; Glomeromycetes; Archaeosporales; Archaeosporaceae. The record is from RNAcentral.
AGCAGCCGCGGUAAUUCCAGCUCCAAUAGCGUAUAUUAAAGUUGUUGCAGUUAAAAAGCUCGUAGUUGAAUUUUGGAUUCUGCCAGUUGGUCCAUCUUUUGAUGAGUACUGAUUGUGUGGGGUCUAUCCGCCUGGGGAGACGUAAUGUACUUUAUUGUAUGUUGCGGGUAGCCAGGACCUUUACCUUGAAAAAAUUAGAGUGUUUAAAGCAGGCUUAUGCCGGAAUACAUUAGCAUGGAAUAAUAGAAUAGGACGAUGUGUUUUAUUUUGUUGGUUUCUAGGACAACCGUAAUGAUUAAUAGGGAUAGUUGGGGGCAUUAGUAUUCAAUUGUCAGAGGUGAAAUUCUUGGAUUUAUUGAAGACUAACUACUGCGAAAGCAUUUGCCAAGGAUGUUUUCAUUAAUCAAGAACGAAAGUUAGGGGAUCGAAGACGAUCAGAUACCGUCGUAGUCUUAACCAUAAACUAUGCCGACUAGGGAUCGGGCGAUGUUGUUUCCAUGACUCGCUCGGCACCUUAUGG